RNAcentral lists this ribosomal RNA (246 nucleotides) under Triticum aestivum (bread wheat). RNAcentral's name for it is "partial small subunit ribosomal RNA". Lineage: Eukaryota; Viridiplantae; Streptophyta; Magnoliopsida; Poales; Poaceae. The record is from RNAcentral.
AUGGCUCAUGUAGAGUCUGAAGACAAGAGUAAAGAUAGAGUCCUAGUCGGUGCUCCUUACAUUUGGAUCGUAACGAACUUUGUGCAUUGCCCUGAGGACACUAAUGAUGAUAUGAUCCAGACGUAUGCUCACGUGUACGUGCGGUAUGUUAUCUCUAAGACUCUCUUUGCUGAUGGUGGUGGCAGGACUACCGCUAAAUGGAUGUGGAUCAAGGCGUUGAUUGUCUUCGACAACAAAUUUAGCUAG